RNAcentral lists this long non-coding RNA (224 nucleotides) under Rattus norvegicus (Norway rat). RNAcentral describes it as "long non-coding RNA NONRATT022546". The record is from RNAcentral. Lineage: Eukaryota; Metazoa; Chordata; Mammalia; Rodentia; Muridae.
GGCGGCAGCCUUGGUUUGCACUCUCAGACGUGGUGACUGCAAGAAGUCAGUUGGCCCGAUGAUGAAGAGACCCAGGUUAGAAGCCCUGAGAGGCCUCAGCAUUACACCUGGGGCAAGCGGAAUAAAAAAAGGUCACUGGCGCUUUUUAAACAUGGACCAAAAAGCAGUAAAAUGUGUUUUGAAAAAAAAAAAUCCUGGCAUUAAAUCAUGACUUUUUGCCUGGC